This 506-nucleotide ribosomal RNA is filed under the name uncultured bacterium. RNAcentral's name for it is "partial 16S ribosomal RNA". It matches the Rfam family "Bacterial small subunit ribosomal RNA", at positions 29 to 523 of the family's 1533-position model. The record is from RNAcentral.
AGUGAACGCUGGCGGUAGGCCUAACACAUGCAAGUCGAACGGCAGCACAGGAGAGCUUGCUCUCUGGGUGGCGAGUGGCGGACGGGUGAGGAAUACAUCGGAAUCUACUUUUUCGUGGGGGAUAACGUAGGGAAACUUACGCUAAUACCGCAUACGACCUACGGGUGAAAGCAGGGGAUCUUCGGACCUUGCGCGAUUGACUGAGCCGAUGGCGGAUUAGCUAGUUGGCGGGGUAAAGGCCCACCAAGGCGACGAUCCGUAGCUGGUCUGAGAGGAUGAUCAGCCACAGUGGAACUGAGACACGGUCCAGACGCCUACGGGGGGGAGCAGUGGUGAAUAAGGGACAAGGGGCGCAAGCCUGAUCCAGCCAUACCGCGUGGGUGAAGGAGGCCUUCGGGUUGUAAAGCCCUUUUGUUGGGAAAGAAAUCCAGCUGGAUAAGACCCGGUUGGGAUGACGGUACCCAAAGAAUAAGCACCGGCUAACUUCGUGCCAGCCGCCGCCGUAA